CCUUAACUGACGCUAAUGCUCGAAAGUGCGGGUAUCGAACAGGAUUAGAUACCCUGGUAGUCCGCACGGUAAACGAUGGAUGCCCGCUGUUGGCGAUACAGUGUCAGCGGCCAAGCGAAAGCGUUAAGCAUCCCACCUGGGGAGUACGCCGGCAACGGUGAAACUCAAAGGAAUUGACGGGGGCCCGCACAAGCGGAGGAACAUGUGGUUUAAUUCGAUGAUACGCGAGGAACCUUACCCGGGCUUGAACUGCAGGAGAACGAUUCAGAGAUGAUGAGGUCCUUCGGGACUCCUGUGGAGGUGCUGCAUGGUUGUCGUCAGCUCGUGCCGUGAGGUGUCGGCUUAAGUGCCAUAACGAGCGCAACCCCUUUCUUCAGUUGCCAUCAGGUUAUGCUGGGCACUCUGGAGACACUGCCACCGUAAGGUGUGAGGAAGGUGGGGAUGAGGUCAAAUCAGCACGGCCCUUACGUCCGGGGCUACACACGUGUUACAAUGGGUGGUACAGAGAGCGGGCUGCCUGCAAAGUCAGCCGAAUCAUGAAAGCCAUCCUCAGUUCGGAUUGGGGUCUGCAACCCGACCCCAUGAAGCUGGAUUCGCUAGU
Molecule: ribosomal RNA, 601 nt
Filed under: uncultured bacterium
Lineage: Bacteria
Description: bacterial SSU rRNA
Rfam family: Bacterial small subunit ribosomal RNA
Source: RNAcentral